RNAcentral lists this ribosomal RNA (496 nucleotides) under uncultured bacterium. RNAcentral describes it as "partial 16S ribosomal RNA". It matches the Rfam family "Bacterial small subunit ribosomal RNA", at positions 29 to 507 of the family's 1533-position model. The record is from RNAcentral.
AUGAACGCUGGCGGCGUGCCUAAUCCAUGCAAGUCGAGCGCACGGACGAGAAGCUUGCUUCUCUGAUGUUAGCGGCGGACGGGUGAGUAACACGUGGAUAACCUACCUAUAAGACUGGGAUAACUUCGGGAAACCGGAGCUAAUACCGGAUAAUAUUUUGAACCGCAUGGUUCAAAAGUGAAAGACGGUCUUGCUGUCACUUAUAGAUGGAUCCGCGCUGCAUUAGCUAGUUGGUAAGGUAACGGCUUACCAAGGCAACGAUGCAUAGCCGACCUGAGAGGGUGAUCGGCCACACUGGAACUGAGACACGGUCCAGACUCCUACGGGAGGCAGCAGUAGGGAAUCUUCCGCAAUGGGCGAAAGCCUGACGGAGCAACGCCGCGUGAGUGAUGAAGGUCUUCGGAUCGUAAAACUCUGUUAUUAGGGAAGAACAUAUGUGUAAGUAACUGUGCACAUCUUGACGGUACCUAAUCAGAAAGCCACGGCUAACUACGUG